RNAcentral lists this transfer RNA (72 nucleotides) under Pericosmus bidens. RNAcentral's name for it is "partial tRNA-Gln". The record is from RNAcentral. Lineage: Eukaryota; Metazoa; Echinodermata; Echinoidea; Spatangoida; Pericosmidae.
CUAAAGAAACGGGAAUCGAACCCGCGACAAAGAAAUCAAAGUUCUCCGUUUUUCCUUCUAAACUAUUCCUUA